This 511-nucleotide ribosomal RNA is filed under the name uncultured bacterium. Its description in RNAcentral is "bacterial SSU rRNA". It matches the Rfam family "Bacterial small subunit ribosomal RNA", at positions 27 to 518 of the family's 1533-position model. The record is from RNAcentral.
GAACGAACGCUGGCGGCGUGGCUAAGACAUGCAAGUCGAACGAACUGGCUAAUGAGCAAUCGAAAGGCCAGUUAGUGGCGAAAGGGUUAGGUAAUGGAUAGGUAACGUACCCUGUGCUUCGGGAUAGCGUCGCUUGCCGAAAGGCAAGCUACCGAAAGGGGCAUUAAUACCGAAUAAUAUCAGGUACCGGCGGGUGCCUGCUCAAAGAUUUAUCGGCGCAGGAGCGGCCUAUCUCCUAUCAGCUUGUUGGUGAGGUAACAGCCCACCAAGGCUAUGACGGGUAGCGGGACUGAGAGGUUGGCCCGCAACAUCGGAACUGAGAUACUGUCCGGACCUCCACGGAGGGCUGCAGUAACGAAUCUUGCGCAAUGGGCGAAAGCCUGACGCAAGCGACGCCGCGUGUGGGAGGAAGUCCUUUGGGAUGUAAACCACUGUCAGGGGGCAAAAAGUCCGUUUCGGCGGAUUGAUUUAACCCAAAGGAAGUCACGGCUAACUCUGUGCCAGCAGCCGC